RNAcentral lists this ribosomal RNA (427 nucleotides) under uncultured prokaryote. Its description in RNAcentral is "bacterial SSU rRNA". It matches the Rfam family "Bacterial small subunit ribosomal RNA", at positions 355 to 774 of the family's 1533-position model. The record is from RNAcentral.
UGGGGAAUUUUGGACAAUGGGCGCAAGCCUGAUCCAGCAAUGCCGCGUGCAGGAUGAAGGCCUUCGGGUUGUAAACUGCUUUUGUACGGAGCGAAAAGGCUCUCUCUAAUACGGGGAGUUCAUGACGGUACCGUAAGAAUAAGCACCGGCUAACUACGUGCCAGCAGCCGCGGUAAUACGUAGGGUGCGAGCGUUAAUCGGAAUUACUGGGCGUAAAGCGUGCGCAGGCGGUUUUGUAAGACAGAUGUGAAAUCCCCGGGCUCAACCUGGGACCUGCAUUUGUGACUGCAAGGCUAGAGUACGGUAGAGGGGGAUGGAAUUCCGCGUGUAGCAGUGAAAUGCGUAGAUAUGCGGAGGAACGCCGAUGGCGAAGGCAAUCCCCUGGACCUGUACUGACGCUCAUGCACGAAAGCGUGGGGAGCAAACA